GAUGAACGCUGGCGGCGUGCUUAACACAUGCAAGUCGAACGGAAAGGCCGAAGCUUGCUUCGGUACUCGAGUGGCGAACGGGUGAGUAACACGUGGGUGAUCUGCCCUGUACUUCGGGAUAAGCUUGGGAAACUGGGUCUAAUACCGGAUAUGACGAUCUCUUGGAUGGGGUUGUGGAAAGCUUUUGCGGUAUGGGAUGAGCUCGCGGCCUAUCAGCUUGUUGGUGGGGUAAUGGCCUACCAAGGCGUCGCCGGGUAGCCGGCCUGAGAGGGUGUACGGCCACAUUGGGAACGGGAUACAGGCCAGACUCCUACGGGAGGGAGGAGGGGGGAAUAUUGGACAAUGGGGGGCAGCCUGAGGCAGCGACGCCGCGGGGGGGAUGACGGCCUUCGGGUUGUAAACUCCUUUCGCAAUCGACGAAGCCUUUUGGUGACGGUAGGUUGAGAAGAAGCACCGGCUAACUACGUG
Molecule: ribosomal RNA, 468 nt
Filed under: uncultured bacterium
Lineage: Bacteria
Description: partial 16S ribosomal RNA
Rfam family: Bacterial small subunit ribosomal RNA
Source: RNAcentral